GGGCCUGGCCUGAGUAUGAUGAUGAUCUGGUGAGAGCAGAUGGGAGCUUGCUCCCUGAUGUUAGCGGCGGACGGGUGAUUAACACGUGGGUAACCUGCCUGUAAGACUGGGAUAACUCCGGGAAACCGGGGCUAAUACCGGAUGGUUGUUUGAACCGCAUGGUUCAAACAUAAAAGGUGGCUUCGGCUACCACUUACAGAUGGACCCGCGGCGCAUUAGCUAGUUGGUGAGGUAACGGCUCACCAAGGCAACGAUGCGUAGCCGACCUGAGAGGGUGAUCGGCCACACUGGGACUGAGACACGGCCCAGACUCCUACGGGAGGCAGCAGUAGGGAAUCUUCCGCAAUGGACGAAAGUCUGACGGAGCAACGCCGCGUGAGUGAUGAAGGUUUUCGGAUCGUAAAGCUCUGUUGUUAGGGAAGAACAAGUACCGUUCGAAUAGGGCGGUACCUUGACGGUACCUAACCAGAAAGCCACGGCUAACUACGUGCCAGCAGCCGCGGUAAUACGUAGGUGGCAAGCGUUGUCCGGAAUUAUUGGGCGUAAAGGGCUCGCAGGCGGUUUCUUAAGUCUGAUGUGAAAGGGCCCGGCUCAACCGGGGAGGGUCAUUGGAAACUGGGGAACUUGAGUGCAGAAGAGGAGAGUGGAAUUCCACGUGUAGCGGUGAAAUGCGUAGAGAUGUGGAGGAACACCAGUGGCGAAGGCGACUCUCUGGUCUGUAACUGACGCUGAGGAGCGAAAGCGUGGGGAGCGAACAGGAUUAGAUACCCUGGUAGUCCACGCCGUAAACGAUGAGUGCU
Molecule: ribosomal RNA, 800 nt
Filed under: Bacillus subtilis
Lineage: Bacteria; Bacillati; Bacillota; Bacilli; Caryophanales; Bacillaceae
Description: bacterial SSU rRNA
Rfam family: Bacterial small subunit ribosomal RNA
Source: RNAcentral